Molecule: long non-coding RNA, 4005 nt
Filed under: Solanum tuberosum (potato)
Lineage: Eukaryota; Viridiplantae; Streptophyta; Magnoliopsida; Solanales; Solanaceae
Description: long non-coding RNA (STUB_LNC000699)
Source: RNAcentral
AAGAGAUAGAGACAUGAAGGUAGAUAUAAAGAGUAUGAUUAAUUAAUAGGUUCACAUCCCAUGAUCAUAGUUUCAGUAAUAUUUGCUUGACAAUAAAAUGUAGCUAACAUCCGAGCUAGACUAUGAUAUGAAGUUUUGCAUAACAUUCGUAGCAAACUAAUAAUGAGCUUGUGCAUCUUUUCAAAACUUGUUUCUUGACUAAAGAAUGAACAAAAGUUGGGCAUAAAAUUUAAUGUUUCAAUCUUCAUCAAGUGUUAUCCAAAAGCAUCAAUAAAAGCUGCAAAGAAAAAAAAAUCUAUUAGAUAAACUUUGAGAUGUAUUAUUAUUAUAUUUAAUGUAAAUUGUUCUAUUGUCUAAACUAAUAAGAAAAAACUGAACAGAUUAAAAUAUAUUGAUUAAGAUUAAAAUUGCUAUGCGCAAAUGCAGUCACCAACACCUACAUUUUGACUGAGUCUACUCCUUUUUCAAUUUGGGAGAGAGCUUUCUUUCUAUAUCUGGGCAUGUAACCAUACAUGUGCGUACUUCCUGGGACAUAGAUACCGAGGGCAAUAUGUCUUGCAUCGUUGUAAUCGAAAGAGAUGUUCCAUUUUCUUGACAUCCUAAGAGAAUACUUAUUGAAUCCCUUGAGAUAAGGCAGAGCACUAUACAUCAAACAAACUUCACUUAUUAUGCCACUAGGAUGAUACAGCAACAAGAAGGUAUACUUUAGCCAUAAGAGCACAAAGGUACAGAAACAAAGGCUUCUUUUGUCCCAAGCUCAGGGAAUGAACAAAAACUGGGGAGAAACUUGUUGUGUGUGAAAACCUCAUCUAAAGCUAAUUGAUAGUAUUCACAACGAUUUAAAUGACAACCGAUUAUGCAUGUGUAUGUUCCACAACUUCAUCUAUCAAUUGUGGCUGGAGGCUAAUAGUUUCGGCAGAUGGAGUCCAACUGAUACAUUUUACAGAAAUUUUAAUUUGUGUUUUCUUGUUCCUACUGAUGCAUCUGGAAAUAAUCUCUUCUGUGAUGUUGUAAAGCUUAACUAAUGUUGUGAUAGUAUCUGAUGUGUUUGACAGGUUAGUUGGCCUCGAAGGCCACUAUCUAAGCCAGCUACAACUAUGAAAAAUAACAAUAUAGUUGCUACUUUGCAUUCUAGGACAUUCUUAUCAGGAGAAGGUAUGAAUGUUGCAACUUUUCUUGCAAAAAUUACGUAAAGAAAACUACCCUAAAAUUACCCUCAAUCUUCUGGAACUAUUGCAGUUCAUCAAUCAUAUUACUCUUUAAUUUCUACUGGCAGAAACGUAUUAAAAUUUGUUUACAAAUGAAUGUGAAAAUUAAUUAUGGCUUAUGUAAACAGGGAAGUAUGCAACGCAGUAGCUGUUGUCAGGGAUAAUAAAAUUAGAUUCAUCAUGGCCUUUUUAUAACCUUUGGGAAAUGGAACUAGUAGCUCGACCAACGGUAUGCCCAUGUUGUUUGACCUUAACUAGUUUAUCAAGAAAACUUUCAACAAGAUUAUUUUAAAAAGUGAUUCUUGUUUUCUACACAACUGUGUGAAUAAUGAAUGGAAAAAACACCAUGGAAGAUCAAGGACUCUUCUAAUGAUAUUAAGGAUCUAUUAAACCAAUAUAGGAUUAUUAGCCACUGCUAUGUUGAUGCCAACAAGCUGAUAGAUUUCCUUCUAUAGGACACAAUUGGAACAAAGUUCCCACAUACACUGACUUCAUCAUAUUCCCAAAUUAAAUCAAGGGACUUUUGAAUUUGGAUAGAUAGAAAAUUCCAUCAGUAAGAACCAAAAGAGACCUACUAGACUUAUUUCUUAUCCUUAUGUUUUAAAUUGCUGGAGGAAUAUGUAACUUGUAUAUAGGUUAUUCCCCCUGUUGCAUUUAACUCAACUUAUGAUAAGAUAAGAUGAAGUAUCUAAUUUUCUUAUAGGAAGACUUAUUGUACAGUUCCCUCAAAUCACUCGUAACUUUUUGAUUUUCAAUGACGAACAAAAUGCAAUAUUUUGACAAAAAAAAACAAUCAGAUGGCACUAAGAAACAUAAAAAAUUACAUAUUCUAAGGCCUAUAAUCUUGUAUAGCUUUGUACUUACACAAAAUAGUCGCCAGUGAUUAAAAAACCUUCUUGUCUAUAGUCACUUGUGAUAAUAAAAACAUGGCCCACAAACUUGCUUCUCCUAAUAGUUAAGGAUGAUUUAGUUGCAUCCUCAAACUAAUAUAUAAAGAAACAACCAAGAAAAUUAGAAAUCGUAAUUAUAUUUUACGUCGGCUAUAUGUCAAAACUCCAGAACACUACACUAUUCCUCACUAAAUCACAAUAGAAGUAACAUUUUCUUAACUUUGAACUUGAAAUUUAAAUUCAUAUGUACAGACUUACUAGUCAUGCAACUACAGAAAGGAAUCUACAACUACAAGCAUACAAUGGUACCUUGAUGCCUACUAUUGAGCAAACAUUUUAGGCUCACUGGACAACACUUGAUUUGGGUGAAAAAACGUUCAGAUAAUACUCUUGAUUACACAUUAUUUGUUGGUGGCUUGGCAGGUGAUGUUACAGAUUACAUGCUUCAGGAGACAUUCAGAGCCAAUUAUCCCUCAAUCUAUGGAACUAAUGUUGUAACAGAUAGGGCAACAGGGCACAAAAAAGGUUAUCCAUUUGUUAGAUUUGGGGAUAAGAGUGAGAAGUUACGCACUAUGACUAAGAUAAAUGGAAGUUUUCUACACUAGGCCUCUGUACAUUAGUCCUGCAGCUAACAAGAAUAUUGGUGGUCAGAUGCAUGCUUUUAUAAUCAAAGUACUGGAACUCAAAAUGAGAAUGACCCUACUAAUACGACUUUUUUCAUUGGAAACUUGGAUUCCAAUGUAAUAGAUGAUGAUCACCUCAGGCAGGUUUUGGAAAAUUAUGAUUAACUGCUUCAUGUAAAUACCAGAAGGCAAACAUUGUGAUUUUGUUUAAUUUACCAACAGAAGAUGUGUUGAGGAAGCUCUAUGAGCUUAAGUGGAACUAAACUGGGUGGACAAACCAUCCACCUUCAAUGGUGUCGUAGCCCUUCAAACAAGCAGUAGUCUCGGGGUAAUCUGAACCAGUGGACUAUACACCAGAAUAUGACUCUUAUGUUUAUGCCCAACCUACUCCAAACCCAAUUAUGUAUUAUGCCCAACCUACUGAUCAAGACUCUUCCCUCUGUAAAACGCAAUACUUAUUGGUAAACAUAUAUACAAAUUUGACCGUGAAAUUUAAAUUCACAUAGACCAACUCUAAGGUAAAAAGUAUUUAGUCGAAACCUUUCAAAAUGUAAAAUAAAAAGUUCAACAUGAAUAACAGGACUAAUCCUUAUUUGGCUCACAAAAUUUCAACACAAUAUAUAAACUAGAAUAUUAUUCAUGAAAUACUCAGAUUUUUUUGAAUUCGAUAUGAGAUAUAAAUCUUCAAACACAUAAUACACUUUAGAAAAAUAAAUUGUCUAUUAGAUAUAUCAACCCAAUAAUUUUUCCACUGAUUAUACAAAAGAAAAGAGGUCAGAUUCUGAAACCAUAUACCCAUUUCAUGUUAGAAAAGAGGAAAAAGAAGAGUAACUGAGAUUAAACACGAAAAAACGACAUCAAUACAUGGAAGAAACAAGAGCAACUUGAUCUAAAGAGGAACCAACCUGGAAUUAUUUUUCGAGUAGAUCUGCAAUAGAAUUCCUUUUCCAGCUGAGAAGCAAUGACGAAAGGAAGAAGACACCAGAUUCGAUUUAGGGCAGAGCUGCUAUGAAAAUCUACAAUCAACGUUGAGAUUAGAUCAGAUAAUUGCGGCGUUGAUAUUAGAUCAGAUAGUUGUGGCGCUGAGAUUAGGUCAGAUAGUUGCGGCGUUGAGAUUUGAGGAAAGGGAAAGUUUGAGACGAGUAUGUGUUUUAAGAAAACAAAGGAUCCUUAUCAUUAUACUAUUGGUUUACUUAAAUCUUCUUGUGCCUAAUUUUUUUUAAAACACAGUUUUAGUUUUAUUUAAAAUAUAUUUUAUUAUUAAAUUUGGCAAAUCAUCUCCCG